Molecule: long non-coding RNA, 2249 nt
Organism: Papaver somniferum (opium poppy)
Lineage: Eukaryota; Viridiplantae; Streptophyta; Magnoliopsida; Ranunculales; Papaveraceae
Exons: 3
Source: RefSeq, a predicted model, not a curated record
UGGAACAGAUUGGUACAAAACUACAAGUUUCUUUUCGUAAAACAUUUGGAUACUUAUCGUUUUGAAACGUUGCAUCUUGAAAUCACUGGCUAUUCGGAACCAUAUCAAUCGACUCCUUCCAUGACUAUAAAUUCUUUAUCUUUAGCGGGCCUAAUUUUGUCAGUUUCAGAUUCGUUGUUUUGGUUUCAGUCAUUUCAAACUCAAUAUUAGAUGAAUUGCUGAAAAGAUAAUAGUUCUUCAAUCAUGAUGGUUGUGUUUCGAAGCUUUAUAGCAGAAUUGUACAGACAGAAAGCCUUAUAGUUUUGAUCAAAACGAAUUCAGUCUGAUAUGGUACCUGAUCUAUCGCACGCACGCACAAAAUAAAGGUUUGUUAACCGAAUGUCUAUCAGUGGAUCACGCAAAAAAUAAAGUGCAACAUUCGACGGGCUUGACAUGCAACACGUGCACCAUUUCUAGGUGUCCAUUUGAUUAAACGAAACCCCAACAGAAUCAGGUCGAUCAAGUCGUACAAUACAGUAUUUGUAAGUCUCAUCAAUCAUUAGAUUUUGAAACUUAAAAAAGUCACUUUUGUUCAAUUGUUUUUCACAAGAUGGCUUGCCGUGGACUUAUCGGUGGUUCAGACAAAUUGAGAAGACGUAUUUUGAAAUUUUGGUUAACCUUCUUAUGAAAACGUGUUUUGGUUCAGAUGGAGUGAAGGUAGCAGCGGUUUAAGAAUUCGACAUUAUUGAAGUUUGUAAAAGUAGAUUUAGGUUUACAAUACCUGAUGCAAUAAACUCGGGAGGAUUGGAUUUACAAAAGAAGUCUAUGUUCAGGAGAGAAACACCCAUCAUCGAACUUUCACUAUUUCGGUUUUUGCACGCGCUUGGAUGUUAGAUCACCCCGUCUUAUUGCACCAUGAAGUUUUGAAUACGGAUAAUCAUGCAGCCUUCUAAUGUCUUCUUAUGUACGAGCACCGCCGAUUAGUACUCAUUGAAAAUGGAUGGCACCAUUUUUCCUGCCCUUGGUGUCGCAAAAGAUAGUAGUGGAUGAUGAUACCUUUGGUGCACAAAAUGCGAGACUGAAUUGGACGUACCCGUUGCAAGGUUAAGUACCACCAGAAAAUACUAUAUCAUUUCAGUUUGUGGAUGCCUAUCCAAUUGUUAUUUCACUAGCCAGUUGACCAUUUGUUUUUAGCCACCCAGGUUCGUGCUGCUCUCUGAAGUGGAAGAUAACACAAGUUCCGUUGGUUUCGUCGCACUCCAGAAGUUGGAUCGUGACACUGCUUCCCAGUGCUGUUGAGUGGGUCAGUGGUAAAAAGAGAGAUUUAGUUCAAGAUUUGGUAAAGAUUACUAUUGGUGUUGCAAAUGGAUUGUUGGUUUCUGCAACAAAUACUAAUACAGUUAUGCCAAGGCAACACUUUGUCUAUGUCGAAUCUAAGUGAAGAUAUCAAUGGACUCUAUGUAGAGAAGCAGUAUAUAGCUAGGAAAAGUGAACCAAGCUUUCUGAAUGUUCACAAAACGUAAUUUUAGUGAUGAACUUGGUUAAGCUUCAUGGCGUAGUUACAUGACAAGGAAAAUUCAAGUGAAGGCACGAGAAAGGUAACUAAAAGAGGACCCUUGAAAAACAUAAAUCAAUUGAUGAACUAGCCCGUGCAUUUGCACGGGCAUACAAGGACCUUGUAUAUAUAUAUCAAUUCUUCUUAAUAUAAAGCAGAAUGAUUUUGCUGAUGUGUCGGCUUCAUAGGAAGUUUCAGCUCUUUUGGCUGACGUGUCAUUGCCAUACUAGAUUUGAAGAGAGUGUAAAAUUUGAAAUGAAGCGACCCUUGGAAGCGCUGUACGGAAAAGACACAUUCCAGAAUCCUUUCUCUUAGUUCCGAAGAGUUCUGUUGAAGGUUACAACUUAUCGGUCACUGACUUUUAUAUAUGACACAUCAAACUGAUUCGAAGCCAGCGUUCAAACUUCGAACCCAGUGUUCUGUACACAAUUUCAUUGUCGCUUCAGUGUUCAUUUCGUUGUGGAUUUAGUGUCGUAAAAAUUUCAUGAGGACGGAAAGUAAAGCAUCCUCUCAACUGAUUCAAAGCCCGACUUAAAGCCAUUGAAUUUCGUUCUGGAUUUGGUGCUCAUAAAAAGUUCACGAGGAAGGAAAGAUAAGCAUGCUCUCAUGAGGGUGAAAGUGUACUAUUAAACUUUUUUUUCAUUUGUUAUUAGAAUAUUGUUUGGGAUCUACUGCGAUGUCCAUUUGAGGAUAUCCAGCAAUCGAUUAUUAAAUU